Cephus cinctus (wheat stem sawfly) is the source of this 487-nucleotide long non-coding RNA. RefSeq lists it as uncharacterized. Lineage: Eukaryota; Metazoa; Arthropoda; Insecta; Hymenoptera; Cephidae. The transcript is spliced from 3 exons. The record is from RefSeq and is a predicted model, not a curated record.
GAUUGCUUCGGUCUACACGUUGUUUUAAGGUUACCUAAACGAUACUGCACGACGGAGAAUUCGAAACUGGAACUAACCGAGGAAACGUCGGGUCGGUAAAUUACCGACGUGGUACGGGAGUCAGUGAUGCCAGACUUUUUGAAAAGGUUCAAUUACGAAACUCCAGAGGAAGCUUCCGUGCUUGUAUGGCGUCCAAUCAGUUGAUUUAACGUUAACGUCAAUACGUGAGCAGAGUUCAUCAAUCUCCCGUAAUAAUAUCAACACGUCGUGUCUGAAUCAACACGCACCGUUGACGGUUCGACGUUCGUACCUACUCUAUAGAUAAAUUGGCGUGGAUGCGCUGGAUACAUUGAGGGACAGAAGAAAAGAGCAAAGAGAAUGAGAGAAACAGGAUCUGCUGCGGUGGCUUUGUCAUUAUUUUUCAUCAGGGUCAUCAGUGAACUUGGCGACGAAUUCUUUCCCUCUGGAUAUACUACUUUGCAAAUGG